UACGUAGGGUGCGAGCGUUAAUCGGAAUUACUGGGCGUAAAGCGUGCGCAGGCGGCCUGUUAAGACCGAUGUGAAAUCCCCGGGCUUAACCUGGGAACUGCGUUUGAAACUGGAAGGCUAGAGUGUGGCAGAGGGGGGUGGAAUUCCACGUGUAGCAGUGAAAUGCGUAGAUAUGUGGAGGAACACCGAUGGCGAAGGCAGCCCCCUGGGCUAACACUGACGCUCAUGCACGAAAGCGUGGGGAGCAAACAGG
This 253-nucleotide ribosomal RNA is filed under the name uncultured bacterium. Its description in RNAcentral is "partial 16S ribosomal RNA". It matches the Rfam family "Bacterial small subunit ribosomal RNA", at positions 524 to 776 of the family's 1533-position model. The record is from RNAcentral.